This 1223-nucleotide ribosomal RNA is filed under the name metagenome. Its description in RNAcentral is "bacterial SSU rRNA". It matches the Rfam family "Bacterial small subunit ribosomal RNA", at positions 298 to 1520 of the family's 1533-position model. The record is from RNAcentral.
GGGCGUACGGCCACACUGGAACUGAGACACGGUCCAGACUCCUACGGGAGGCAGCAGUGGGGAAUUUUGCGCAAUGGGCGAAAGCCUGACGCAGCAACGCCGCGUGGAGGAUGAAGGCCUUCGGGUCGUAAACUCCUGUCAGUAGGGACGAAUGCUUCGAAAGAAGUUUGACUGUACCUGCUGAGGAAGCCACGGCUAACUCCGUGCCAGCAGCCGCGGUAAUACGGAGGUGGCAAGCGUUGUUCGGAAUUAUUGGGCGUAAAGGGCGCGUAGGCGGCUUUGCAAGUCAGAUGUGAAAGCCCCGGGCUUAACUCGGGAAUUGCAUCUGAAACUGCUUAGCUUGAGUCCUGGAGGGGGUAGUGGAAUUCCCAGUGUAGCGGUGAAAUGCGUAGAUAUUGGGAGGAACACCGGCGGCGAAGGCGGCUACCUGGACAGUGACUGACGCUGAGGCGCGAAAGCUAGGGGAGCGAACGGGAUUAGAUACCCCGGUAGUCCUAGCCGUAAACGAUGGGCACUUGGUGUUGGGGGUAUUGAGUCCCCCGGUGCCGGAGUUAACACGUUAAGUGCCCCGCCUGGGGAGUACGGUCGCAAGACUGAAACUCAAAGGAAUUGACGGGGGCCCGCACAAGCGGUGGAGCAUGUGGUUCAAUUCGACGCAACGCGAAGAACCUUACCGAGGCUCGAACGGUAACUGCAAUUCUUGGAAACAGGAAGUUCUCUUCGGAGACGGUUAUCGAGGUGCUGCAUGGCUGUCGUCAGCUCGUGUCGUGAGAUGUUGGGUUAAGUCCCGCAACGAGCGCAACCCUUGCCCUUAGUUGCCAUCAGGUUAUGCUGGGCACCCUAAGGGAACUGUCGGCGAAAAGCCGGAGGAAGGUGGGGAUGACGUCAAGUCCUCAUGGCCCUUACGUCUCGGGCUACACACGUGCUACAAUGGUCGGUACAAAGGGUUGCCAACCCGCGAGGGGGAGCUAAUCCCAAAAAGCCGAUCUCAGUUCGGAUUGCAGUCUGCAACUCGACUGCAUGAAGGCGGAAUCGCUAGUAAUCGCAGAUCAGAACGCUGCGGUGAAUACGUUCCCGGGCCUUGUACACACCGCCCGUCACAUCACGAAAGUGGGUUGUACUAGAAAUCGCUGAGCUAACUCGCAAGAGGGGCAGGCGCUUAAGGUAUGAUCCAUGAUUGGGGUGAAGUCGAAACAAGGUAGCUGUAGGAGAACCUGUGGCUG